UACGGAGGGUGCAAGCGUUAUCCGGAUUCACUGGGUUUAAAGGGUGCGUAGGUGGGUUGGUAAGUCAGUGGUGAAAUCCCCGAGCUUAACUUGGGAACUGCCAUUGAUACUAUUAAUCUUGAAUACCGUGGAGGUUAGCGGAAUAUGUCAUGUAGCGGUGAAAUGCUUAGAUAUGACAUAGAACACCAAUUGCGAAGGCAGCUGGCUACACGAAUAUUGACACUGAUGCACGAAAGCGUGGGGAUCAAACAGGA
Molecule: ribosomal RNA, 254 nt
Filed under: uncultured bacterium
Lineage: Bacteria
Description: partial 16S ribosomal RNA
Rfam family: Bacterial small subunit ribosomal RNA
Source: RNAcentral